RNAcentral lists this ribosomal RNA (501 nucleotides) under uncultured bacterium. RNAcentral's name for it is "partial 16S ribosomal RNA". It matches the Rfam family "Bacterial small subunit ribosomal RNA", at positions 29 to 523 of the family's 1533-position model. The record is from RNAcentral.
AACGAACGCUGGCGGCAGGCUUAACACAUGCAAGUCGAGCGGGGGAAGGUAGCUUGCUACUGGACCUAGCGGCGGACGGGUGAGUAAUGCUUAGGAAUCUGCCUAUUAGUGGGGGACAACAUCUCGAAAGGGAUGCUAAUACCGCAUACGUCCUACGGGAGAAAGCAGGGGAUCUUCGGACCUUGCGCUAAUAGAUGAGCCUAAGUCGGAUUAGCUAGUUGGUGGGGUAAAGGCCUACCAAGGCGACGAUCUGUAGCGGGUCUGAGAGGAUGAUCCGCCACACUGGGACUGAGACACGGCCCAGACUCCUACGGGAGGCAGCAGUGGGGAAUAUUGGACAAUGGGGGGAACCCUGAUCCAGCCAUGCCGCGUGUGUGAAGAAGGCCUUAUGGUUGUAAAGCACUUUAAGCGAGGAGGAGGCUACUCUAGUUAAUACCUAGGGAUAGUGGGCGUUACUCGCAGAAUAAGCACCGGCUAACUCUGUGCCAGCAGCCGCCGUAA